CACGUAGGCAUCAAGCGUUGUCCGGAUUUAUUGGGCGUAAAGAGCUCGUAGGCGGUUUAGUAAGUCGGGUGUGAAAACUCUGGGCUUAACCCAGAGCCUGCACUCGAAACUGCUAUGACUAGAGUUCGGUAGGGGAGUGGGGAAUUCCUGGUGUAGCGGUGAAAUGCGCAGAUAUCAGGAGGAACACCGAUGGCGAAAGCACCACUCUGGGCCGAUACUGACGCUGAGGAGCGAAAGCGUGGGUAGCAAACAGG
Molecule: ribosomal RNA, 254 nt
Filed under: uncultured Ilumatobacter sp.
Lineage: Bacteria; Bacillati; Actinomycetota; Acidimicrobiia; Acidimicrobiales; Ilumatobacteraceae
Description: partial 16S ribosomal RNA
Rfam family: Bacterial small subunit ribosomal RNA
Source: RNAcentral